Molecule: ribosomal RNA, 1302 nt
Filed under: metagenome
Description: bacterial LSU rRNA
Rfam family: Bacterial large subunit ribosomal RNA
Source: RNAcentral
CCUACACGACCGUACCGCAAACCGACACUGGUGCGCGAGAUGAGUAUUCUAAGGCGCUUGAGAGAACUCUGGAGAAGGAACUCGGCAAAUUGACACCGUAACUUCGGAAGAAGGUGUGCCUUUAGUAGGUGAAGUCCCUCGCGGAUGGAGCCCAAUGAGGUUGCAAAAAAUCGGUGGCUGCGACUGUUUAAUAAAAACACAGCACUCUGCAAAGACGAAAGUCGACGUAUAGGGUGUGACGCCUGCCCGGUGCUGGAAGAUUAAAUGAUGGGGUGCAAGCUCUUGAUUGAAGUCCCAGUAAACGGCGGCCGUAACGAUAACGGUCCUAAGGUAGCGAAAUUCCUUGUCGGGUAAGUUCCGACCUGCACGAAUGGCGUAACGAUGGCCACACUGUCUCCUCCAGAGACUCAGCGAAGUUGAAAUGUUUGUGAUGAUGCAAUCUCCCCGCGGAAAGACGGAAAGACCCCAUGAACCUUUACUGUAGCUUUGUAUUGGACUUUGAACAGAUCUGUGUAGGAUAGGUGGGAGGCUUUGAAGCAGGGUCGCUAGAUCUUGUGGAGCCAACGUUGAAAUACCACCCUGGUGUGUUUGAGGUUCUAACCUAGGUCCAUUAGCUGGAUCGGGGACAGUGCAUGGUAGGCAGUUUGACUGGGGCGGUCUCCUCCCAAAGCGUAACGGAGGAGUUCGAAGUACGCUAGGUACGGUCGGACAUCGUGCUAAUAGUGCAAUGGCAUAAGCGUGCUUAACUGCGAGACUGACAAGUCGAGCAGAUGCGAAAGCAGGACAUAGUGAUCCGGUGGCUCUGUAUGGAAGGGCCAUCGCUCAACGGAUAAAAGGUACUCUGGGGAUAACAGGCUGAUACCGCCCAAGAGUUCUUAUCGACGGCGGUGUUUGGCACCUCGAUGUCGGCUCAUCUCAUCCUGGGGCUGUAGCCGGUCCCAAGGGUAUGGCUGUUCCCAUUUAAAGAGGUACGUGAGCUGGGUUUAAAACGUCGUGAGACAGUUUGGUCCCUAUCUUCCGUGGGCGCUGCAGAUUUGAGGAAGCCUGCUCCUAGUACGAGAGGACCGGAGUGGACACACCUCUGGUGUAUCGGUUGUCACGCCAGUGGCGUUGCCGAGUAGCUAAGUGUGGAAGAGAUAACCGCUGAAAGCAUCUAAGCGGGAAACUCGUUUCAAGAUGAGAUCUGCCGGGGCCUUGAGCCCCCUAAAGAGUCGUUCAAGACCAGGACGUUGAUAGGUCAGGUGUGGAAGCGCAGUAAUGCGUUAAGCUAACUGAUACUAAUUGCUCGUGCGACUUGACCCU